This is a long non-coding RNA of Panicum hallii, 1221 nucleotides long. RefSeq lists it as uncharacterized. The transcript is spliced from 3 exons. Lineage: Eukaryota; Viridiplantae; Streptophyta; Magnoliopsida; Poales; Poaceae. The record is from RefSeq and is a predicted model, not a curated record.
GCCAUCUUUUCUUCCUCUCUCCCUUUGCUUGGCACCAAGUGGUUGCAGAUCGGCUCGGCGCGGCGCGGGAGCAGCGCUAGCGCGGGCGGCCGGCCGCAGCAGGCGCACGCGCGGGCGCAGCGCGCGAGCUGGCGGCGCGCGGCUCGGCCGGCGCAGGCUGGCGGCGCGGCUAGCGGCAGCAGCUCAGGCGCCGAGCGGGCGACGGCCGGAGCGGAGGCGUGUGGCUCGGGAGGUGCGCGUGAGGGGAGCUGGGCCAGCUCGGCGUGGGCGGCUGGCGGCAGCGGCUGUGCGAGCGGCGCUGCGCGGGCAAGCAGCUCGGGUGGCGCGUGAGCAGGCGGUGCGGGCGGUGCAGAUGCGCGCUGGCGCAGGCAGCAAGCGACGCAGGUGGUGGCGGGAGCGCGGCAGGCGAGGGACCGGGCCGUGCGGCGCGCGUUCGGGGAUGCGCUGUGGCCUCCUGCGUUGCUCCGUUCCAUCCAGGAUUCCAUGCCUCCAGCGCUCCCCUGCUCAUCUGCUACUUCUAGGCUGCAGCUGCUGUCCAGCCAAAUCCCAAGCGCAAUCACACUUCGCCAGCUUGCCUGAUCCGGCCCGGUCCGAUCCGGUUGAUUUAGGUACAAUUGAAAGCGAAGUCAUAUGUGAGAGAGGUGCUUCGUGGCGACCAGUGAUCAAGCGUCGGUGCUGUAGCCUCUGAGGACCCUUUGGCCUCUGCUCAAGUGGACAUUACUGUCGACCCUGCGUCAACACCUGGUGAAACCGAAGGGGGCCACGAAGAUGGUGAAGAGGCGAAGACUGGAAAGGACCCUGCGGUGGAACCUGCGUGGGUCACCGAAGGUAUUUUGCCUAUUACUAUGAAACGAGAUGACUUCUACAUGACCGGAGAAACUUGGGCAAAGUUCCAUUCCGCGCAUCCCGUGAUCACUUUUGAUGAGUUUUUGACUAUUAUGCUUCGUAGCUAUGAAAAAUGCAGCACUACUGCGAAGGUCUUUCUUACUGAGUUCAAACGUGACCCUGCUAGACGCCCAUGGAUCCUUGUUGAUCAUGCUCUCCGUCGUGAAAUCCGAAAGUCAAGAAUAGCUCCUUUGCCAUAUACGUUGCCCGAGGGCCUAAAAGAACCGAAACCAGAACCUGUGGAGACCGAAGCCGAGCCUUUGGAAUUUAUGUAUCAUGUUCCACAGUGAUGAAGAGGAGAAGCCCUUACAUCUCCUAACCUUGCAUUAUCUUCGG